UGAGCGAAUGAGUCCCCUGUCUGACCCACCU
RNAcentral lists this non-coding RNA (31 nucleotides) under Mus musculus (house mouse). The record is from RNAcentral. Lineage: Eukaryota; Metazoa; Chordata; Mammalia; Rodentia; Muridae.